CGGAGGGCGCGAGCGUUUACCCGGAUUUACUGGGCGUAAAAGGGCGUGUAGGCGGCUUGGGGGCGUCCCAUGUGAAAAGGCCAACGGCUCAACCGUGGAGGAGCGUGGGAUACGCGUCAGGCUAGAGGGUGGGAGAGGGGUGGGUGGAAGUUCCCGGACGUAGCGGUGAAAUGCGCAGAUACCGGGAGGAACGCCGAUGGCGAAGGCAGCCACCUGGUCCACUUCUGACGCUGAGGCGCGAAAGCGUGGGGAGCAAACCGGAUU
Molecule: ribosomal RNA, 264 nt
Filed under: uncultured bacterium
Lineage: Bacteria
Description: partial 16S ribosomal RNA
Rfam family: Bacterial small subunit ribosomal RNA
Source: RNAcentral